GACGAACGCUGGCGGCGUGCUUAACACAUGCAAGUCGAACGGAAAGGCCCCUUUGGGGGUUCUCGAGUGGCGAACGGGUGAGUAAUACGUCAGUAACCUGCCCUUGACUUCGGGAAAACUGCAGGAAACUGGGGUUAAUACCGGAAAGGAAUCCUUGCGGCAUCGGGGGGGUUGGAAAGCUCCGGCGGUUUUGGCUGGGCUCGCGGCAUAUCAGCUUGUUGGUGGGGUAGUGGGUUACCAAGGCUUUGACGGGGAGCCGGCCUGAGGGGGCGACCGGCCACAUUGGGACUGAGAUGCGGCACAGGCUCCUACGGGUGGCAGCUGUGGGGAAUCCUGAACAAGGCGCGGCAGCCUGAUGCAGAAACGCUGCGUGCUGGAUGACGGCCUUGUGGUUGUCAACAGCUUUCAGCAGGGGCGAAGCUUGUGGUGACGGUACCUGCAGAAGAAGCACCGGCUAACUACGUG
Molecule: ribosomal RNA, 465 nt
Filed under: uncultured bacterium
Lineage: Bacteria
Description: partial 16S ribosomal RNA
Rfam family: Bacterial small subunit ribosomal RNA
Source: RNAcentral